This 74-nucleotide transfer RNA is filed under the name Phycisphaerales bacterium. Its description in RNAcentral is "tRNA-Cys". It matches the Rfam family "tRNA". Rfam says of the family: Transfer RNA (tRNA) molecules are approximately 80 nucleotides in length. Their secondary structure includes four short double-helical elements and three loops (D, anti-codon, and T loops). The record is from RNAcentral. Lineage: Bacteria; Pseudomonadati; Planctomycetota; Phycisphaerae; Phycisphaerales.
GGCGGCGUAGCCAAGUGGUCUAAGGCGACGGUUUGCAAAACCGUUAUGCGUCGGUUCGAAUCCGACCGCCGCCU